ACAAACCCUAGAGCAGCACCCUGAGGAUCAUGUAAGGCCUAAAUAAUUUAACACUUCAAAAUUUUAAAUAACCAAGUAAAUACCAAAUCAAUCAACCGAGUCACAACUUCAAAUCAAAUGUAAAUUUUGUUCAAUACAAUUAUUCAAAUGUUCAUUGAUAUCAAAGAAUUUAAACUAACUGAACUACUAAAGGCUUCAGUUCUUAUUUGCUCUCGUCCAAACCAUCCAAACUAAGCAUCCUGUGAGUCUGAAAAAAAAAUAAGAAAAAAAUAUGAGCUUCUCCAGCUCAGUAAGAAUCACUGCACAUGUACAUCA
This 315-nucleotide long non-coding RNA is filed under the name Elaeis guineensis (African oil palm). Its description in RNAcentral is "long non-coding RNA (EGUI_LNC067438)". Lineage: Eukaryota; Viridiplantae; Streptophyta; Magnoliopsida; Arecales; Arecaceae. The record is from RNAcentral.